RNAcentral lists this ribosomal RNA (269 nucleotides) under uncultured prokaryote. RNAcentral describes it as "partial 16S ribosomal RNA". It matches the Rfam family "Bacterial small subunit ribosomal RNA", at positions 524 to 792 of the family's 1533-position model. The record is from RNAcentral.
UACGGAGGGUGCAAGCGUUACUCGGAAUCACUGGGCGUAAAGCGCGCGCAGGCGGCCUUUUAAGUUGGAUGUGAAAGCCUACGGCUCAACCGUAGAACUGCAUCCAAAACUAUCAGGCUAGAGUGUGGGAGAGGAAGAUGGAAUUAGUUGUGUAGGGGUAAAAUCCGUAGAGAUAACUAGGAAUACCAAAAGCGAAGGCAAUCUUCUGGAACAUUACUGACGCUGAGGCGCGAAAGCGUGGGGAGCAAACAGGAUUAGAUACCCGCGUA